This 807-nucleotide long non-coding RNA is filed under the name Erythranthe guttata (spotted monkey flower). RNAcentral describes it as "long non-coding RNA (EGUT_LNC000227)". Lineage: Eukaryota; Viridiplantae; Streptophyta; Magnoliopsida; Lamiales; Phrymaceae. The record is from RNAcentral.
UACAAGAAAUUCUUCAUCUCAUAAAAGAACAAGUCAUAUAUUAUACAUUAACCCUAGUUCGACAUAAUAUAUAUUUAAAUGGCGAAGCAGACCUUGUUAGUGGGGAAAUAAAAGAAAUCUACCGCUCCGCCUGCACACGUGGAUAAUAUAAUGAGAUAAAAUCAAGUGUGGAGGAAGUCUCCACCUCUUAGCUCCUGCCGCCGCGUGGUGCCGGCGGGGAUACAGAUUCCUUUUACUUCUACACUAACAAGGUCCGCGUCGCCAUUUAAAUAUAUGUUAUGUCGAACUAGGGUUAAUGUAUAAUAUAUGACUUGUUUUUUUUAUGAGAUGCAUAAUUUUUUGGUUGUAGUUGCAGUUGCAGGUGAGUUUUAUAAUAUAGCACAAACUUGAUAUUGUAUGUAUAUAUAUAUAUAUAUAUAUGAAGUUAAUUAAGUUAUCUUUUCCUUUUUUGAAAAGAAUGAAAUUAAAUAUUGAUUCCAACUUUUUUUUUUGUUGCAUUUACUAAUUCUUUUCAUUAAGUUGUCUUCUUACUUCUGGCUGAACUGGUAAUUAAGUAUUAGCGGCUAAUUGCAGUUUACAAUAAAAGUGAUAUUUUCAUAGAUUUUUCAAGAGAUGGGAUCCUGUGUGCCGCAAUAAAUUUUGUGACCGGCUACCUGGGUGUCUUUGAAUGAGGAUGCAAAUUUUAAAUAAUUUUUUUUUUUUUUUUUAUUAAUGAUACAAGAUAAUCUGUAAUCACUCAAGGAGCACUGAACAAAUCCUACUCUUGUAAAAUAACAUGCAAAUCACACACAACGAAGUAUAAGUUAC